Molecule: ribosomal RNA, 630 nt
Filed under: uncultured Bacteroidales bacterium
Lineage: Bacteria; Pseudomonadati; Bacteroidota; Bacteroidia; Bacteroidales
Description: bacterial SSU rRNA
Rfam family: Bacterial small subunit ribosomal RNA
Source: RNAcentral
GCCGGCGACCGGCGCACGGGUGAGUAACACGUAUGCAACCUACCUUUAACAGGGGGAUAAGCGGAAGAAAUUUCGUCUAAUACCGCGUAAAAUUUUGGCAAGACAUCUUGCAAAGAUCAAAGGAGCAAUCCGGUUAGAGAUGGGCAUGCGGCGCAUUAGCUAGUUGGCGGGGUAACGGCCCACCAAGGCGACGAUGCGUAGGGGUUCUGAGAGGAAGGUCCCCCACACUGGUACUGAGACACGGACCAGACUCCUACGGGAGGCAGCAGUGAGGAAUAUUGGUCAAUGGGCGAGAGCCUGAACCAGCCAAGUCGCGUGAGGGAAGACGGCCCUAUGGGUUGUAAACCUCUUUUGUCGGGGAGCAAAGGCGGUCGUGCGCGACCGGAUGAGAGUACCCGAAGAAAAAGCAUCGGCUAACUCCGUGCCAGCAGCCGCGGUAAUACGGAGGAUGCGAGCGUUAUCCGGAUUUAUUGGGUUUAAAGGGUGCGUAGGCGGAAGAUUAAGUCAGCGGUAAAAAUGCGGGGCUCAACCCCGUCGAGCCGUUGAAACUGGUUUUCUUGAGUGAGCGAGAAGUGUGCGGAAUGCGUGGUGUAGCGGUGAAAUGCAUAGAUAUCACGAAGAACUCCGAUU